RNAcentral lists this ribosomal RNA (323 nucleotides) under uncultured bacterium. RNAcentral describes it as "partial 16S ribosomal RNA". It matches the Rfam family "Bacterial small subunit ribosomal RNA", at positions 356 to 696 of the family's 1533-position model. The record is from RNAcentral.
GGGGAAUAUUGGACAAUGGGGGCAACCCUGAUCCAGCAAUGCCGCGUGUGUGAAGAAGGUCUUCGGAUUGUAAAGCACUUUCGACGGGGACGAUGAUGACGGUACCCGUAGAAGAAGCCCCGGCUAACUUCGUGCCAGCAGCCGCGGUAAUACGAAGGGGGCUAGCGUUGCUCGGAAUGACUGGGCGUAAAGGGCGUGUAGGCGGUUUACACAGUCAGAUGUGAAAUCCCCGGGCUUAACCUGGGAGCUGCAUUUGAUACGUGUAGACUAGAGUGUGAGAGAGGGUUGUGGAAUUCCCAGUGUAGAGGUGAAAUUCGUAGAUA